RNAcentral lists this ribosomal RNA (276 nucleotides) under uncultured soil bacterium. RNAcentral's name for it is "partial 16S ribosomal RNA". It matches the Rfam family "Bacterial small subunit ribosomal RNA", at positions 58 to 333 of the family's 1533-position model. The record is from RNAcentral.
CAAGUCGAACGAGAAGCCCGGGCUUGCCCGGGUGGACAGUGGCGAACGGGUGAGUAACACGUGAGGAACCUGCCCCGAAGACCGGGACAACACCGGGAAACCGGUGCUAAUACCGGAUGCCUUCACCGGAUCGCAUGGUCUGGUGAAGAAAUGGAUUCCGCUUCGGGAUGGCCUCGCGGCCUAUCAGCUUGUUGGUGGGNNNAUGGCCCACCAAGGCAACGACGGGUAGCUGGUCNGAGAGGAUGUCCAGCCACACUGGGACUGAGACACGGCCCA